CAAUUAGACAAAAAAUACUUCUUUGUUAAUUCUGUGACACUGAAAAAGUACUAGUAAGGCACACGGUGUGUUUUAUACAGUCUAUGGGCAGCUGAAGAGUCUGGCUCAUUUUCAAAUAAUGUUACCGUUAACUUUUUGAGCCAACGGUCACGGUAGCGAUUUUUUUUAACAUUAAUGUCAACGCCUUAAUGCGUUUUCAGAAGUUUCUCGGAGGGAAAAUGUAAAAGCGGGUUAUUAAAGAGAAGUCCUGACUGCUUUUUCACCGUGUUUUUCACUCUUUUACAGGCUUCCAGAAAUAAUCCGGUGAAAUAAUAUGAUGUUUGUUUGUGUAAAUGCUGUGUGUGCGUUGAGUCCUGCGCGAGCGGGGAGCAGAGUUGCCAUGGAAACGGGGCAUCAACACAAAAACCGUUACUGGCAAGCAGUAAUCUCCGUAUCUCGCUGCAGUUUACACUGUUUUGGAAACGGUUUAGUGUCUUCGGAAAAGUCCGUUAUCAUUUUAGCAGUUUUCAGAUGUUUGUGUAAAUGCUGUGUGCGCGUUGAGUCCUGCGCCAGCGGGGAGCAGAGUUGCCAUGGAAACGGGGCGUCAACACAAAAACCGUUACUGGCAAGCAGUAAUCUCCGUCUCUCGCUGCGGUUUACACUGUUUUGGGGCCAGCAGAGCCCUGCUCACCCUGACGGCCCACCGCUGCUGUCAGACAACAUCUCAAAGAUGCUAUAAACUGCAGGACCAGAUGGCCAUCCCAAGGUUUCUAGAGAUUACAGCAGCUCCAGACUGAAUCCAAACUCACUUUUGAAGACUUCAGAUGACACCAACGCUCACAAAGACUACAGACGACAACUGUACAUGAACACACAAAACAUUGGACACACAAAACAAAUAUUAUCCUUAU
Carassius auratus (goldfish) is the source of this 890-nucleotide long non-coding RNA. RefSeq lists it as uncharacterized. Lineage: Eukaryota; Metazoa; Chordata; Actinopteri; Cypriniformes; Cyprinidae. The record is from RefSeq and is a predicted model, not a curated record. The transcript has 6 exons.